This 73-nucleotide transfer RNA is filed under the name Sphaerobolus stellatus SS14. Its description in RNAcentral is "tRNA-Tyr (GTA) (tRNA-Tyr-GTA-1-1, tRNA-Tyr-GTA-1-2)". It matches the Rfam family "tRNA". Rfam says of the family: Transfer RNA (tRNA) molecules are approximately 80 nucleotides in length. Their secondary structure includes four short double-helical elements and three loops (D, anti-codon, and T loops). The record is from RNAcentral. Lineage: Eukaryota; Fungi; Basidiomycota; Agaricomycetes; Geastrales; Sphaerobolaceae.
CUCUGGGUAGCUCAGUUGGAAGAGCGUCAGACUGUAAAUCUGAAUGUCACUGGUUCGAUCCCGGUCCCGGAGA